Non-coding RNA from Electrophorus electricus (electric eel), 2427 nucleotides. The record is from RefSeq and is a predicted model, not a curated record. NCBI's taxonomy places the organism in Eukaryota, Metazoa, Chordata, Actinopteri, Gymnotiformes, Gymnotidae.
UCAAAGUUGAGAAGGUUCAUUUACUGAUGAGCAGAAGUUGCUCACAAAUUUUUGUGGUACACUAAAGAGAUAUAUUGCUGUGGAAUAAAGCUAUAACAAUAUCUAUAAAUAAAGCUAUUAGUCUACAUGGUUGCUAUAGAUAAUCUGUAUGUAUAAUGAGUGCUAAAGUUAAGGAGUGAAUGGGAAGAAGGAAGUGAGGAGGGUCCCACGUGUGCAUGAGUCUUAUACUGACAUCAAAUGGCAGAAUUCAAGCCAACAUUCCACAAUGUGUUUCUAAGAGCACAUUUUAAAUUCUGAAUGGAGUCUGUAGCUAUGUUAAGCGGUUCAGCUGUAUUGAUCGCAGAAAAGUGAAGACCAUUAAGAAAGGAAUAAUACAACGCCUUGCAAGUGCCUAUAAUUAUUAAUUUAUGCGGAAACCAUUUAUUGAGCCCGUCAAUAUAUCCCCUCCCUACACGUUCUGCCUAUUAUUCUAAAAAUAUUUUCCAGACUGGCUGGAACCUCUGCAGAAAUGAGCCUUAGUACUUUAUCGCACUAGCAAUUUAGAUGUCAACUUCGGCUACUUUUGCUAACGCUAGCUAGCUACUGAGUCUGAAGUCUAUAACGCUAGCGUUACCUACACUGAUGGAAAAACACUAAAAUCAGCAGCUAAUUAUGCGGCCUAUCUGGCUUAGGUAACUUAAGUUAACCUACGUUAUGACGCACUUUGGCUCUUUGGAAAGGUCACCAACAGCCGCAAAAGCGCAAGUUGACAGUGUGAGACUGCCGAAACAUUGUUCCUCAUUAUUUACCGACCAAGGCCAUAAAAUGGCGCGAAGGUGUUAACGCGCUGCCUCAGCUCGAGGGACUAUAAAAUAAUGUUGGUUCUGUUUGGCUUUGAAAUCCGGUAUGACCAAAGGAGGAUGGGUUCACCUUUUGAGUAUUGGUUUCUAGAAAGAAAAUUUGAAUUGAAUUAAUUAUAUAUGGCCUAUGUGAUUUGUAGGCUGCCAUGGUACUUAUGUUUCAACAUUUUCCCAUUUAAAUGUUUGGUUGUUCUUGCAAUAAAUAAACUUGUGUAUCAAUCAUAUUACUCAUGUCCACUACUCUCAUCUAGUUCAAGGCUGGGUGUCUACAAGUCAACUUUCAAGUCAUGUACAACUAUCAAAUCGGAAUAAAUCUGAAAAUAAACGGGUCACAAAGACAAAAAUGUAUGACCAUUUGAGACAGCAGUUUUUAAAAGCUAAUAAUUUGUACUCUUUGUGAAGACUUUACAGUUCCAGGUGUGCUGUUAGUGGUUUUAGUGUGCACUGGUUAUAUAUGGUUUACAUAUACCUCUCCAGAUUCAAAUCUCUCCCUAUACCGAAUCACCCAAAUCCAAGUGAGAAUUCUGCAGGCAAUGAAGCAUUGUUCAAAGUAUUGUGGUUAAUGUCCUGUAUUAUGCUGGAUGUUUAUUCCACCUUAACAGACUUCAUCAGGGCAGCUGUGUGAGGAUCUAGAUAAUAUUUAAUAAAGUACACACAUAAUGCAAUGAAGAUUUCACAGCCGUCAAAGCCGUCAUCUUUGUGGAGGCAUGUUAACAAAUCUUAGAGAACAGGCAGGUUUGGUCUGUAUUCAGUGCAUGUUGAAUAGUGCUUUGUAUAAAUACAAAAAGGCAAGAAACCAGUUUGACCAGUCAUGAGACAAUAAGUGGCAUAUUUUUGGUGUGCGAAAAACAGUCACUAUGAACAUUAGAUGUUAGAGAUGUUCAUUAGCAUAAACCAAAUCUAAUAAAAUGUGCCUUUGUAAAGAUCAAAAACAAACAACCAAAACAAACAAACAAACAAAAGCCCUUGAGAUAAACUGGGUGAAAGCAAGAAGCAAGGUGCUCUUGCUAAAGUAAUGAGCAGUUUUCCCUUUUUAAUCUAAAUCAGGCAUGUUAUGCUUUGACUAGAAUAACAGCAAUCUACUUCUAACCAGCCACAAUGUUUAACUGCCUGAGCACCAAGCACGUGUGCAGCCCUCUACCACUCACCAAGCUGACGUAAACCACGCUGAGACUCCAGGCUCUCAGCCUUCACUCUGCAGUAGCAGCCAACCACAGAGCUGCUCUUUAUUUAUCUAGCGCAUAUCAACAUUGUGGGGAUUUUGAAGGCUCACAAGUGAAUUAAGUGACAGUUGUAUGUGUGCAUAUGUGUGUAAAACAAUAUAAAGUCUCUGAUGGAGCAGCAGUGGGUUAUUUAAAUUAUCAGCUACUGUGUGUGUGAGUGUGUGUGUGUGUGUGUGCGCGCAUAUAUUCCCAUGUGUGUGUUUGUGUGUAUAUUCCCAUGUGUGUGUGUGUGUGUGCGUGUGUGCGUGCAAAUAUUCCCGUGUGUGCAUAUAUUCCCAGGUAAACCAGCACUGAAUUACUACUCAGAUUCACAUUUAGAGGAAUAAUAUGAGUGCCACUGAGUGUUUAGAUACAUAGAUCAGACG